GAUGAACGCUAGCGGGAGGCCUAACACAUGCAAGCCGAGCGGUAGAGAUCUUUCGGGAUCUUGAGAGCGGCGUACGGGUGCGGAACACGUGUGCAACCUGCCUUUAUCUGGGGGAUAGCCUUUCGAAAGGAAGAUUAAUACCCCAUAAUAUGUUGGAUGGCAUCAUUCGACAUUGAAAACUCCGGUGGAUAGAGAUGGGCACGCGCAAGAUUAGAUAGUUGGUGAGGUAACGGCUCACCAAGUCUGCGAUCUUUAGGGGGCCUGAGAGGGUGAUCCCCCACACUGGUACUGAGACACGGACCAGACUCCUACGGGAGGCAGCAGUGAGGAAUAUUGGACAAUGGGUGAGAGCCUGAUCCAGCCAUCCCGCGUGAAGGACGACGGCCCUAUGGGUUGUAAACUUCUUUUGUAUAGGGAUAAACCUACUCUCGUGAGAGUAGCUGAAGGUACUAUACGAAUAAGCACCGGCUAACUCCGUGCCAGCAGCCGCGGUAAUACGGAGGGUGCAAGCGUUAUCCGGAUUUAUUGGGUUUAAAGGGUCCGUAGGCGGAUCUGUAAGUCAGUGGUGAAAUCUCACAGCUUAACUGUGAAACUGCCAUUGAUACUGCAGGUCUUGAGUGUUGUUGAAGUAGCUGGAAUAAGUAGUGUAGCGGUGAAAUGCAUAGAUAUUACUUAGAACACCAAUUGCGAAGGCAGGUUACUAAGCAACAACUGACGCUGAUGGACGAAAGCGUGGGGAGCGAACAGGAUUAGAUACCCUGGUAGUCCACGCCGUAAACGAUGCUAACUCGUUUUUGGGCUUUCGGGUUCAGAGACUAAGCGAAAGUGAUAAGUUAGCCACCUGGGGAGUACGAACGCAAGUUUGAAACUCAAAGGAAUUGACGGGGGCCCGCACAAGCGGUGGAUUAUGUGGUUUAAUUCGAUGAUACGCGAGGAACCUUACCAAGGCUUAAAUGGGAAAUGACAGGUUUAGAAAUAGACUUUUCUUCGGACAUUUUUCAAGGUGCUGCAUGGUUGUCGUCAGCUCGUGCCGUGAGGUGUUAGGUUAAGUCCUGCAACGAGCGCAACCCCUGUCACUAGUUGCCAUCAUUAAGUUGGGGACUCUAGUGAGACUGCCUACGCAAGUAGAGAGGAAGGUGGGGAUGACGUCAAAUCAUCACGGCCCUUACGCCUUGGGCCACACACGUAAUACAAUGGCCGGUACAGAGGGCAGCUACACAGCGAUGUGAUGCAAAUCUCGAAAGCCGGUCUCAGUUCGGAUUGGAGUCUGCAACUCGACUCUAUGAAGCUGGAAUCGCUGGUAAUCGCGCAUCAGCCAUGGCGCGGUGAAUACGUUCCCGGGCCU
RNAcentral lists this ribosomal RNA (1345 nucleotides) under uncultured bacterium. RNAcentral's name for it is "bacterial SSU rRNA". It matches the Rfam family "Bacterial small subunit ribosomal RNA", at positions 28 to 1381 of the family's 1533-position model. The record is from RNAcentral.